GUAGUGGUACGGGCUGAGAUUCCGAUCGGAAACUCAUAACCCGAAGGUCGCAGGUUCAAAUCCUGCCCCCGCCACCA
This 77-nucleotide transfer RNA is filed under the name Gordonia sp. (in: high G+C Gram-positive bacteria). RNAcentral's name for it is "Gordonia sp. tRNA-OTHER". The record is from RNAcentral. Lineage: Bacteria; Bacillati; Actinomycetota; Actinomycetes; Mycobacteriales; Gordoniaceae.